RNAcentral lists this long non-coding RNA (4595 nucleotides) under Coffea arabica (coffee). RNAcentral describes it as "long non-coding RNA (CARA_LNC007119)". The record is from RNAcentral. Lineage: Eukaryota; Viridiplantae; Streptophyta; Magnoliopsida; Gentianales; Rubiaceae.
UUUUUUUGGUUGGUGGUGUUUGUUUUGGUUGCAAGCAAAUACAGAUGUUCAAACAAGUCAAGUAUGUGAAAUCUCAUAGACUAAUGACUAUCAAGCGUUUGAUGAAAUGUCUAUAUGAAACUUGGGAUAAUUAGCAGAGAAAACGUGGAGAGAAAGAUUACACAGGUAAAUUCUAUUUUGCUCUAUAACCUUUUUUUUCUUCUACGGCCAAUUCUUUUUGUGUUUUCUAGGGCACUUUAUCUUUCCUUUUCAACCUUUUUUGGUUCUGAUCUUGAUCUCAUGUUGCUCAUUCUAUGUUGAUGUUCGCUAUAUUUUCGCUGGUGAUAGAUGUCAUAUGGAAGUUUACUUUUGAUAAUUCAGUUUGAUUUUUGAAAAAUUUUGUUCAUUCUUUCAACCUUUAUAUGCCUUUCAAGUUCAAUUUGGUCCAUGUAUACUUUCAACUCUUCAUCUUUUCGUUACUUUUCCAGAAUCUUUUUUGUGGCUGAGCUAAGAUUUCUUAAAAAUAACUUUGAUGUCUAUGCCUUUUGAGGAACAUGAUUACAUAGGCUUAUCAGAGGUUCCUGCAAUGGAAAGUUCUGAAAAGAAUAAUGCUCUGCCUUUGGGAGAUAAAUAAGAAAAUAAAAUGAUGCAUUGUCCUGCGUGCUAUGGGAAGGGUCUAAUUGCUCAGAGAUGGGUUUGAUACAAUGUAAAGUUGUAUUCCAUACUCUGACUUUGUUGUAUCUGUAGGGAGAGUUCAUACCAUAAACUGAAAGUUACACACUUCACAGUUUAGCUAUGUUAGGCCCAUCUUGAUCGUUAGCAGCUUUCUCUCUGCAAUUAUUGUUAUCGGAUAUAAGUUUUUCUGUUUAGCUGAUAGCUUGUCGAAAAAUCUCCAUGCAGAUGCUUAAAAUGUAAUGGGAAGUGUAUGGUGCCUUGAGUAACUUGUGGUUCUUGUGGGCCUAUCAAAUGUGUGACGUGCAUGGGUGGUGGUUCUCUUUUGACUCGCAAAGUGGCUGUUAUGAGAUGGUAUGGCCUAUGUUGUUUUGCACAAUAUAUUUGGCAUGCCAUAGCUCUUACAGACUUUAGGACAUAACUAAAAGAACAUUUUGGAUUUAGUUUAAAAGAACAUAACUAAAUGAACUUGUUAUCAUGACAAGUAAAUUGAUUUUGAAUCUAGCCUGAAGCAUUUUGGGAGAAAAAUUGUUAAAAUGCUAAAUGAACAUAACUAAGUAAAAGUUGGGGUUCAGUUUGUCAUUAAAAGUUGGUCCCUAUGCACAUUCUUCACAGGUAAGGGCCAUUAGUCCAUGAUCCAUUGGACAGUCAGUUUAGGGCCAGAUAUUGAAGCAGUGCCAUCUGAUUUCUUUUGAAUAAUUUUAUAACUACUUUUUCAGUUUGUUGGUUCAUUCAAGAAUGGCAAGUAUGUUGGUUCAUUCAAGAUCAUUCAAGAAUGGCAAGUCAAGUAUUCACACAAUCUUCAUUGGACAAACUUAAAUGUGCUAGGCUUGAAACCCUCCUUUGAAGUAAUUGUCAUGGAUGGCCAAGUAGACCCUGUGGACAUGCGUACUAGGUCACUUAAGCCUACAACAACUUUGGCUUGUGAUUUAUGCGUUUGGAUGCUAUGUUGAGAUCCCUACCAAAGCUAAAAGAGCUUUAGUGAACCCGACCAGAAAAUGUGAAAUCACUCUGUCCACAAGAUUUAUUGUUUCAGUUUUGUUGUUUCUUGCUUGGCAUUCCUUCAAGUUAUGCUGUUUGCCUAUUUCAAUCUGCCUCAUAGUUGUGCCAUGAUGGAGAAAUAAAGGAAAACAAAAUUGUUUUAAGUACCGAUUAUGCAUUUUGUCUGUGUUUUUGGCUGUCCAGGAAGACACUUUCGACUCGAAAAGUGAGUGCAACAAGUAGAGCUGCUUGUGACGCCCGAAGGAAAAGAAAAGGAAAUUUUCUUUAUUUAUUUAUUUUUCCGCGUGCAUUUUUCUUACUUUAUUUUAUUAUCAAAAUUUUCCAGAGACUUUAUAAGUGAAUAUAGUUUUUCCAACCAUUUUUCUAGUAUAAGUUAGUUCGGGUUAAUUUGGAAGUCUAUUAAGGACGUGGGACCCGCUCGUGCGGUAAAUGCGUUAUAUUUUCGAUAACUUGUUGAUGUUUUGUAUUAAGAGAUAUUAUUUUACAAGGUGUUAGGAGAUAAUUACAGGUUAGUUAGACUAAUUAGUAUGGAGAGACAAGAAAAUAAGCUUAAACAUUUAAGGUGCCACGUGUCGCGUUUCAAUUCAGGGGUGGACUUUUGACCAAAAUAUUUUACCUUCUUAAAGCUAAUUUUGGCCAAUGUAUUUCUUCAUUUUAAGCUCUCUUGGCCGAACUCCUUAGGGAGAGAAAAGAGAGAAACCUUCAACUUUUAUUCUUCAUUUCUUGCUUUGAUCUUGCAAACCAACCAAUUAAAUCUUGAAUUUGUCCACACAAAAGACUUGCUAAGGGAGUUUGAAGAUCUUGGUGGAGUUGUUUUGCAAGAAAAACCACUAAGCUACUACCUUUAUUGAGAAAUUAAGGUAUUUUGCUUGGAACUCACUUUUUGUCUCUAAUAAUGGCCAAUUGGUGCCUUAUGGAAGCUAGUUAGGUGAUUUUAUGAAAGAUUUUAUGGAUUGGAGUGGAGUUAUCUAAAUUUCUGAUUUUUUGGGGUUUUUUCUGUUUUCAUAUGAUGCUUAUGGUUGGCCUUGGAUUGAUGGCUCUAAAGUGUCUUAAAUGGAUCCCUUGUGCAUCAAUUGCGGUUAUUUGCGGAAAAUUUCAGCUUGUGCGGAAAAUUUCAGGUUAAGGUUUCAAAUCUGCCCUGUUCUGACCGGAUUUAUUUGAGCAUGUUAGAUGCCGAAUCAGGUUUAGGUUAAAACAUGAAAAUUGUAGAAAAUGGUGUUACUAGCUGCCUGCAAAAUUUCAGCUCGAUCCGAGCACUAUAGCAUGUGAAUGACCGAAAUACCCUUGACUGCCCAUGAGCCCUAUUUGGCGCCCAGAUUUCUGUUUUCAUGGAGUUUUUCAUUUUUGACCCUAAAAAUGCAUGAUUUGGCUUUGAAGUCUUCAUAAGAAAUGUAGGUUUAUGUCUUGGCUUCGAAACGCCAUAAGAUUCGUUUCAACCCGAUAAGUGUAGCUUCAGUUAUGGAUAUUGUGCCGAAAGGUGUAUUUGAUAGUCUAUGAUGUGUAUGUGGUUGAUUUGAGAUGAAAUGGUGUUGCUUGUAGGAUGGAAAAGUAAGGAAAUUAAGGGGAUAUGCUGUCCGAUCUUUGAAAACAUUUGAUUGCUUUGAGUUUGAGUUGAAGGGCUUGGAUUUGGGUAAGGCAAUGAUAUAUGAUGGAUGAUUCUUGAGCCGUGGAGGUGAGUAACCCUAAAUUAUUUCGAAAGCUACUUAUGAACUGUUUCCUGCAUUCUUUAUUCAAUUGCAUAUCAUGCGUGCUUGCAUGGGAGUUCAUGGUAUGAUUUGGCUUCAAUGAGUUCUUGGGGAGUCUUGUGCUGAACACCAACGUCUCCACCACUUGUUUAUGUUCAUUUGGAGCUCAAAAAGGGGCUCCCUCUUACUGUUCAACGUGAAAUGAUCUAUUGGAGCGUUGGAUGUUUAAGUACAAUGAUUUCACUGGCUCACCAGAGCAAAAAUACGUACAUUUGAUCUCGGAAUCAUGACAUCAUCGAAAUGCAUUAUUGUGAAAUAUAUUUGAUUACUGAUUUUACUGGUUACUCGCUGAGCGUUAGCUCACCCAAAAACUAUUUUAUUCCCCUCCACAGGGCUCGAGGUGAAGGAAACAUUUGUAUUAAAGUUCUCCGUGUGAAUGGUUGGAGGAUCUACUGUACCAUUGGAGCUCUAGUUUUAAUUUGCGUAGUAUUUGAGAUUGUACUUGUACUUGUACUUAUGUGAGAACUGAGGACCUUUGUCUUAUGCUGGAAAUUAGUAUUGCUUAUAUCUCUUGAGGUUUUAGUUUGUAGUAUAUGUAAAUUGUGGAACUUUUGGUGUAUAUUUGUGUUAAGUGAUUAAUUAUGCAUAUAAUUGGUGAAUAUUUUCCCCUUUAUUUUGCUAAAAUAUGGUGAUAAUUGAUGAAUUUUACUCAUAUUUGAUUUUUGGUGUUGUUUUUAGGAAUUGUUGGUGAGAAUGGAGUAAAAGGCGCAUUAAAGACUAAAUUUUCAGAAGACAACAAUUUAGAAGACGUGACCACGCUUUAAUCAGUUGAGAAGUCCCAAUGUCGCAAGAAUUGAAGCAAGGCCGAGGUUGACUCUUUAUUUUUAUUGACCAAUUGAAACGAAAUCUUUGUUUCUUGAUUGAGAUAAACUCUGUUAGUUAGCUAUUUUAGGGAUGAUACAUUUGGGUUCCUUUUUAUUAUUACUAUACUUAUUAGAAGUACAAUGGCAAGAGGACUCUCGGCGGGUGAAAGGAAACGUAGGAGUAUAAGAAGGAAAAAAGAGCCUUCGGCUAGGGGGCUCUCUCGAAUCCUUUUUCUUCUUUUUCCUCUUGAUAGACUAUAAACGCUAGUAUUUUGUCGCUGCGAAUUCACCAUGAGGAGCGGCUAAUUUCUUUUCUAGUUGAAGGAUAAUUGAAGCUUUGGUUCGACAAUUCUGUGAGAUCUAAUUUGAUUUAUUUGCUUCAUCUAUUUCUGAG